GAUCUGGCUCAGGAUGAACGCUGGCGGCGUGCCUAACACAUGCAAGUCGAACGGACUUACAUUGAAGCCUAGCGAUAUGUAAGUUAGUGGCGGACGGGUGAGUAACGCGUGGGUAACCUGCCUUGUACUGGGGGACAACAGUUGGAAACGACUGCUAAUACCGCAUAAGCGCACAGCUUCGCAUGAAGCAGUGUGAAAAACUCCGGUGGUACAAGAUGGACCCGCGUCUGAUUAG
RNAcentral lists this ribosomal RNA (235 nucleotides) under uncultured bacterium. RNAcentral's name for it is "partial 16S ribosomal RNA". It matches the Rfam family "Bacterial small subunit ribosomal RNA", at positions 15 to 244 of the family's 1533-position model. The record is from RNAcentral.